UCCCAUUCCGAACACGGAAGUUAAGCUCUUCAGCGCCAAUGGUACUGCACGGGCAGCUGUGUGGGAGAGUAGGUCGCCGCCGAGA
Molecule: non-coding RNA, 85 nt
Organism: Desulfobulbaceae bacterium A2
Lineage: Bacteria; Pseudomonadati; Thermodesulfobacteriota; Desulfobulbia; Desulfobulbales; Desulfobulbaceae
Source: Rfam